CAAAUGACUCUCAGCAACGGAUAUCUUGGCUCUUGCAACGAUGAAGAACGCAGCGAAAUGCGAUACCUAGUGUGAAUUGCAGAAUUCCGUGAAUCAUCGAGUUUUUGAACGCAAGUUGCGCCCCAGGCUCGUCUGAGGGCAUCCCUGCCUGAGCGUCCUU
Molecule: ribosomal RNA, 160 nt
Filed under: Colura acroloba
Lineage: Eukaryota; Viridiplantae; Streptophyta; Jungermanniopsida; Porellales; Lejeuneaceae
Description: 5.8S ribosomal RNA
Rfam family: 5.8S ribosomal RNA
About the family: 5.8S ribosomal RNA (5.8S rRNA) is a component of the large subunit of the eukaryotic ribosome. It is transcribed by RNA polymerase I as part of the 45S precursor that also contains 18S and 28S rRNA.
Source: RNAcentral